This 253-nucleotide ribosomal RNA is filed under the name uncultured bacterium. RNAcentral describes it as "partial 16S ribosomal RNA". It matches the Rfam family "Bacterial small subunit ribosomal RNA", at positions 524 to 776 of the family's 1533-position model. The record is from RNAcentral.
UACAGAGGGUGCGAGCGUUAAUCGGAAUUACUGGGCGUAAAGCGCGCGUAGGCGGCUUUGCAAGUCGGGUGUGAAAUCCCCAGGCUUAACCUGGGAACUGCAUUCGAGACUGCAUUGCUAGAGUAUGGGAGAGGGAAGUGGAAUUUCCGGUGUAGCGGUGAAAUGCGUAGAUAUCGGAAGGAACAUCAGUGGCGAAAGCGGCUCACUGGAUCUCUUCUGACGCUGAGGCACGAAAGCUAGGGUAGCGAACGGG